AAAAAGGGUGAAAAGAAUUGGUCAAAGCUGUCGGAAGCUCUAAUUGAAAGCAGCUGACCAUAAUUGACGCCUAAGUCCUCAAAGGAUUGGCAAUUAAUUUGGAUGGGAUUUUCGUAGCGAUAGUAGUACACUUUGCCGCGCCUAUCGAUUUAUCUCGUAUUUUCCAAGCUUUCGCGCGUGAAUCCAGUCGAGGAUUAAUCGUAUCGUCUCCAUUAUUGCCAUUUGAAUUUAAUUCCGACUGAUAUCGAGAUGUGGAUCGCAAUCUCGAAAGUAUCGCGCUUACUGUACGAGUCAAUGAAAACGAAUACUAUCCUAACGGUAUUAGAUAGAAAAAAAUCAAAAAAAAAAUCAAAAAAUAAAAAAGAAAUAGAAAAGAAUAAAAAAAAAAAGCAGGGUUUUCUAUUCGGUUCAUUGGGAAAGUUCGUGGAACGUUGAAAGAAAAACUCGUUUGUAUAAUGCGCGCGUGCGUGCUCGAACGGCGUAAAAACAAAAGAGCUUUUAAAGGAAAAACGAUCGGAAAGGUGGCCCCCUUACCAGGUGAUACACCUGAAGUCAUUAUCGCGAGUUUUACACAAAGUUAAAUACAAAUUUACGAAGAGACACGCCUUCCUUUUUUCAUCUGUCCCCACCACCACCUCUGUGUGAAGAUUCGACGGAAGCCACCCUUACGUUUACGUUAUUCCACGCAAAAGAAAAAAAAAGAAAAAGAAAAAGGAUAGUAGUACUCGGUUCUUCUUUACGUUAGUCCGAUCGGAUAGAUAAUAAGCAAGAGAGAAGUUAAACAAAAAGAAAACAAAAAACAGAAAAAUAUGAAAAGGAA
RNAcentral lists this long non-coding RNA (820 nucleotides) under Polistes fuscatus (common paper wasp). Its description in RNAcentral is "uncharacterized LOC122516534". The record is from RNAcentral. Lineage: Eukaryota; Metazoa; Arthropoda; Insecta; Hymenoptera; Vespidae.